AGACUCCUACGGGAGGCAGCAGUAGGGAAUUUUCGGCAAUGGGCGAAAGCCUGACCGAGCAAUGCCGCGUGAAUGAAGAAAUUCUUCGGAAUGUAAAAUUCUGUGGUGAGGGAAGAAAGGUAUUAGAAGGAAAUGGCUAAUAUUUGACGGUACCUUACUAGAAAGCCCCGGCUAACUAUGUGCCAGCAGCCGCGGUAAUACAUAGGGGGCAAGCGUUAUCCGGAAUUAUUGGGCGUAAAGCGUGCGUAGGCGGCCACUUAAGUCUGUCGUGAAAGCCCACAGCUUAACUGUGGAGGGUCGAUGGAAACUGAGAGGCUUGAAUCUAGGAGAGGUAAGUGGAAUUCCAUGUGUAGCGGUAAAAUGCUUAGAUAUAUGGAGGAACACCAGUGGCGAAGGCGGCUUACUGGUCUAGAAUUGACGCUGAUGCACGAAAGCGUGGGUAGCAAACAGGAUUAGAUACCCUGGUAGUCCACGCCGUAAACGAUGAGCACUAAGUGUCGGACGUAAGUUCGGUGCUGAAGUUAACGCAUUAAGUGCUCCGCCUGGGGAGUACGGUCGCAAGACUGAAACUCAAAGGAAUUGACGGGGACUCGCACAAGCGGUGGAGCAUGUGGUUUAAUUCGACGCAACGCGAAAAACCUUACCAGGCCUUGACAUACCGAUGACGUCUUUAGAGAUAGAGAGUUACCUUCGGGUACAUCGGAUACAGGUGGUGCAUGGUUGUCGUCAGCUCGUGUCGUGAGAUGUUGGGUUAAGUCCCGCAACGAGCGCAACCCUUAUCAUUAGUUGCUAACAGUCAGAUGAGCACUCUAAUGAGACUGCCAGCGAAAAGUUGGAGGAAGGUGGGGAUGACGUCAAAUCAUCAUGCCCCUUAUGGCCUGGGCUACACACGUGCUACAAUGGCUGGUACAAAGAGGAGCAAAGCUGUGAAGUGGAGCAAAUCUCAAAAAGCCAGUCUCAGUUCGGAUUGUAGUCUGCAACUCGACUACAUGAAGUUGGAAUCGCUAGUAAUCGUAAAUCAGCAUGUUACGGUGAAUACGUUCUCGAGUCUUGUACACACCGCCCGUCACACCAUGAGAGUUUGUAAUACCCGAAGCCGGUGGCUUAACCGCAAGGAGAGAGCCGUCUAAGGUAGGACAGAUGAUUGGGGUGAAGUCGUAACAAGGUAUCCCUACGAGAACGUGGGGAUG
This 1190-nucleotide ribosomal RNA is filed under the name human gut metagenome. Its description in RNAcentral is "bacterial SSU rRNA". It matches the Rfam family "Bacterial small subunit ribosomal RNA", at positions 333 to 1520 of the family's 1533-position model. The record is from RNAcentral.